This 750-nucleotide long non-coding RNA is filed under the name Homo sapiens (human). Its description in RNAcentral is "HSALNT0009425". Lineage: Eukaryota; Metazoa; Chordata; Mammalia; Primates; Hominidae. The record is from RNAcentral.
CUACCCAAUAGCAAGAUUAUUUUUGAUGAUCAGAAGUCUUGUCUUGCCCUAAGAAUGGAAGGAUUGUGAACAACUAUCUGUGAAGAAAUGCAGUGCCAACAGGGUAAAUUCAAUACGAUUACUACGAGCAUAAUUUCAACUGACUUCUAUGAAGAAGAUUUCACAGUCACCUGAAGCAACAGCCUGCAGCUGUCAUUAUGGAAAGCCCCCAAAAAGAGCUUGGAAAAUCUUGGGAGGAUUUCUUCAAUCUUAUGUAGCAUUAGAAACCAAGAAGGGCUUAAUCUAUUGACAUUUUAAACUCUUACUACCCAGAUUUCUCAUUCAUUGUUCAUUUUACAUUCUUAUGAGCUUCAUUUCAACAGUGCUUAAAAAUUGCUGCAUAUUCUUAAGCCACUAAAACAGAUGCAAAUUGAGAUGUGGGAUUUCUGGGCUUUAAAAGUAGUUGCAAAACUGUUUUUUAGAAAUGGAUCCCAUACUAACAAGGGAUACAAAUCAAUGCAUCAAGAGAAACUAGAAUACAAUAUGGUGUGGCUCACAAUUAGAAAAUAUGAGUUUACUUCAUUUUGUUUCUAUCUAAAUCAAUCCUGAAAACUUCACUGAUUGUAUGACUCUCUUCUUUUCAAUGUAUCAUUUAAAGGACAGACACAUUGAUGGAAAAUAAAUGGAUGAAGAUGGGCUUUGUGAAUCCCAGAUCUUACUGUUGGUAUGUUUAUAAACACAAGCAGGUGAAGGUUACAGUCUAGCAUUUAU